Chelonoidis abingdonii (Abingdon island giant tortoise) is the source of this 245-nucleotide non-coding RNA. The record is from RefSeq and is a predicted model, not a curated record. NCBI's taxonomy places the organism in Eukaryota, Metazoa, Chordata, Testudines, Testudinidae.
CGGCUGCCCCCGGGCUACUUCUGUACUCCCCCUCAGGCCCUACCUGGGUCCCGACAUCGGCGGGGUCCAGGAGCAUGAGUUCGUCACGGCCGGGGCUGGGUGGCAGAUCCAGCAACUCCUCCGGGUAACUGGCCCAGGGAGCUCCGGCGGCUCCUCCGGGUAGCGGGUGUAGGGAGCUCCGGCGGCUUCUCCGGGUAGCAGGCGCGGGGGAGCUCCGGCCACUCCCCUAGGGGCAUGGGCUCAGG